UCCUUCGUGGCGCAAUUGGCUAGCGCGUCUGACUGUUAAUCAGGAGGUUGAAAGUUCGAGCCUUUCCGAAGGAG
This 74-nucleotide transfer RNA is filed under the name Collariella sp. IMI 366227. RNAcentral describes it as "tRNA-Asn". It matches the Rfam family "tRNA". From Rfam's summary of the family: Transfer RNA (tRNA) molecules are approximately 80 nucleotides in length. Lineage: Eukaryota; Fungi; Ascomycota; Sordariomycetes; Sordariales; Chaetomiaceae. The record is from RNAcentral.